GACAGAGGAGCCAAGCGUUGUCCGGAUUGACUGGGCGUAAAGCGCACGCAGGCGGUCGCGCGCGUGGGGUGUGAAAACUGGCGGCUUAACUGCCAGAGGCCAUCCCAUACGGCGUGACUCGAGCCAUGCAGAGGUCCACGGAAUUGCCGGUGUAGUGGUGAAAUGCGUAGAGAUCGGCAGGAACACCCAGGGGGAAACCAGUGGACUGGGCAUGUGCUGACGCUCAGGUGCGAAAGCGUGGGGAGCGAGCCGG
RNAcentral lists this ribosomal RNA (253 nucleotides) under uncultured bacterium. Its description in RNAcentral is "partial 16S ribosomal RNA". It matches the Rfam family "Bacterial small subunit ribosomal RNA", at positions 524 to 776 of the family's 1533-position model. The record is from RNAcentral.